GAUGAACGCUAGCGGCAGGCCUAACACAUGCAAGUCGAGGGGUAGAAUUAGCUUGCUAAUUUGAGACCGGCGCACGGGUGCGUAACGCGUAUGCAAUCUACCUUGUACAGGGGGAUAGCCCAGAGAAAUUUGGAUUAAUACUCCAUGGUAUAAUUGAAUCGCAUGGUUUGAUUAUUAAAGUUCCAACGGUACAAGAUGAGCAUGCGUCCCAUUAGCUAGUUGGUGUGGUAACGGCAUACCAAGGCGACGAUGGGUAGGGGUCCUGAGAGGGAGACUCCCCCACACUGGUACUGAGACACGGACCAGACUCCUACGGGAGGCAGCAGUGAGGAAUAUUGGUCAAUGGUCGGAAGACUGAACCAGCCAUGCCGCGUGCAGGAAGACGGUCCUAUGGAUUGUAAACUGCUUUUGUACGGGAAGAACACUCCUUCGUGAAGGAGCUUGACGGUACCGUAAGAAUAAGGAUCGGCUAACUCCGUGCCAGCAGCCGCGGU
This 494-nucleotide ribosomal RNA is filed under the name uncultured bacterium. Its description in RNAcentral is "bacterial SSU rRNA". It matches the Rfam family "Bacterial small subunit ribosomal RNA", at positions 28 to 521 of the family's 1533-position model. The record is from RNAcentral.